This is a non-coding RNA of Petromyzon marinus (sea lamprey), 1635 nucleotides long. The record is from RefSeq and is a predicted model, not a curated record. Lineage: Eukaryota; Metazoa; Chordata; Hyperoartia; Petromyzontiformes; Petromyzontidae.
UCUACAGGAGAUGAUACAACUUUUAAAGCCAUUCCGCCGGGUUUAGUGUAAAUGCCGUACAACAUGUUUGGACUCGACGGGAGUAAAGUUGGACUUACGAAACAAAUCGACUUACGAACACACCUCUGGAACCCAGCUCGUUGCAGGGCAACCACGGCCUGGUGGGCAUAGCGCACGGCCUCGUGCAGUGGAGUGCUGCCCCAGCUGUGCACAACGACAGCAGUGAACACAAUGCUGCCGCGCGGCGCGGGAGCCGCCGUCACCUGCGGAGGGAGGCGACGUCCCCCCGGUAUGCGGCCAGCAGCAGGUUCAUGAUCCGGUAUCCCUGGCGGCACGGCCAGAGGAAGAGAGCACCGGGCCAACACCGGGUCAGCACCGAGUCAUCACCGGGUCAGCACCGAGUCAUCACCGGGUGAUCACCGGGUGAUCACCGGUCAUCACCGGGUGAUCACCGGGUGAUCACCGGGUCAUCACCGGGUGAUCACCGGGUGAUCACCGGGUCAGCACCGGGUCAGCACCGGGUCAGCACGGGGUUAUCACCGAGUCAUCACCGGGUGAUCACCGGGUCAGCACCGGGUCAGCACCGGGUCAUCACCGGGUCAGCACUGAGUCAUCACCGGGUGAUCACCAGGUCAGCACCGGGUCAUCACCGAGUCAUCACCGAGUCAUCACCGGGUGAUCACCGGGUGAUCACCGGGUCAUCACCGAGUCAUCACCGGGUGAUCACCGAGUCAUCACGGAGUCAUCACCGGGUGAUCACCGGUCUGAAACCCAGAAGUGCCCUUCAGCAACCCCAGUCACGUAAGCCGGACUCUUCCACAUUUGAAAACGAAUUUCUUUAGAACUGCUUUUUGUCUUUAGUUCGCUGUCCUUCCCCGACACCUCCGAUUAGUUGCGGUUGGCUACGUACGGUGCGAAAGAAGUCCAACAUACGUACGUACAUAAAGCAUGGAGAGAUUUAGGCAUCAUAAUAGACGUUCAUUGAAAGUAACAUUUCACUCGUACAGAGAUUUAAACCCAGGUUGCGUUACAUUGGGUUUCUGUUGGGACGAGGCGGGCCAAAAUUCGUGAGGUAAUCUGCUCACCAUCCCAUGGUUUGUUUCCAAAAUCCCACACGUUUUUAGUGAGUCAGUCUCCUGUACUUCAACCAGGGGACGAGAUCAGCCCAUCCGCACCUCCGAUUAGCGCGGAUGGCUACGUACGGUGCGAAAUAAGUGCAACGUACAUUCACUGUGAACACAAUGCUCACGUGCGCGUCCCAGGGAUACCUCCGAUUCGUGAGACCAAGACGACAGGGGUCUGGGCCGACGGGGCGCGCUGUCAUAUGGGUGCAGCGCAAACGUUCGCACGAACUCCUGCGCACAGACCGCACCACGUGCUGUCACCACCGCAGAGCGGACCCGACCAACCACAGCCUCCAACUCGCCGUGCACACGCUGCAGUGCCCCCCACCCCCCCCCCCCCCCCCGUGUCACCCCAUCGUUUGCCCGACUGGAGGCACAAAUGGAAUCCAACUGGCGAACUGAAACCUCCGAUGGGAUCCGUGGGUCCUCGCCCGAUUAAAAUAAAACUUUAACUAACUAAUUCUAGAUUUGAAGCUUUCGUGACUGCAAGGAUCCAUACUCUUUGGUUCUA